GCAUUGGUGGUUCAGUGGUAGAAUUCUCGCCUCCCAUGCAGGAGAGCCAUGUCCGAUUCCCGGCCAAUGCA
RNAcentral lists this transfer RNA (71 nucleotides) under Danio rerio (zebrafish). It matches the Rfam family "tRNA". Rfam says of the family: Transfer RNA (tRNA) molecules are approximately 80 nucleotides in length. Their secondary structure includes four short double-helical elements and three loops (D, anti-codon, and T loops). The record is from Rfam by way of RNAcentral. Lineage: Eukaryota; Metazoa; Chordata; Actinopteri; Cypriniformes; Danionidae.